CAGGGGGACAACAGCAGGAAACGGCCGCAAACACCGCACAAGCCCAAAGCACUGCAUGGUGCAUAGGGAAAAGGAGCAAUCCGGUACAGGAUGGACCCGCGUCUGAUUAGCCAGUUGGCAGGGUAACGGCCUACCAAAGCGACGAUCAGUAGCCGAUCUGAGAGGAUGUACGGCCACAUUGGGACUGAGACACGGCCCAGACUCCUACGGGAGGCAGCAGUGGGGAAUAUUGCACAAUGGAGGAAACUCUGAUGCAGCGACGCCGCGUGAGUGAAGAAGUAUUUCGGUAUGUAAAGCUCUAUCAGCAGGGAAGAAAAUGACGGUACCUGACUAAGAAGCACCGGCUAAAUACGUGCCAGCAGCCGCGGUAAUACGUAUGGUGCAAGCGUUAUCCGGAUUUACUGGGUGUAAAGGGAGCGUAGGUGGCAAGGCAAGCCAGAAGUGAAAACCCGGGGCUCAACCGCGGGAUUGCUUUUGGAACUGUCAUGCUAGAGUGCAGGAGGGGUGAGCGGAAUUCCUAGUGUAGCGGUGAAAUGCGUAGAUAUUAGGAGGAACACCGGAGGCGAAGGCGGCUCACUGGACUGUAACUGACACUGAGGCUCGAAAGCGUGGGGAGCAAACAAAAUUAGAUACCCUGGUAGUCCACGCGGUAAACGAUCCAUACAGAGUCGGGGUAGCAAAGCUAUUCGGUGUCUUCGCAAACGCAAUAAGUAUUCCACCUGGGGAGUACGUUGGCAAGAAUGAACUUCAAAGGAAUUGACGGGGACCCGCACAAGCGGUGGAGCAUGUGGUUUAAUUCGAAGCAACGCGAAGAACCUUACCUGCUCUUGACAUCCCAUUCGAUAGAGGGUAAUGCCUCUAGCCCUUCGGGGGAAUGGAGACAGGUGGUGCAUGGUUGUCGUCAGCUCGUGUCGUGAGAUGUUGGGUUAAGUCCCGCAACGAGCGCAACCCUUAUUGUCAGUAGCCAGCAGGUGAAGCUGGGCACUCUGAUGAGACUGCCGGGGAUAACCCGGAGGAAGGUGGGGAUGACGUCAAAUCAUCAUGCCCCUUAUGAGCAGGGCUACACACGUGCUACAAUGGCGUAAACAGAGGGAAGCGAAGGAGUGAUCUGGAGCAAAUCUCAAAAAUAACGUCUCAGUUCGGAUUGUAGUCUGUAACUCGACUACAUGAAGCUGGAAUCGCUAGUAAUCGCAGAUCAGAAUGCUGCGGUGAAUACGUUCCCGGGUCUUGUACA
Molecule: ribosomal RNA, 1234 nt
Filed under: uncultured bacterium
Lineage: Bacteria
Description: bacterial SSU rRNA
Rfam family: Bacterial small subunit ribosomal RNA
Source: RNAcentral